AACAAGAUUCGAAUAGAUUUUGAUCCUAAUGAAAUUCUUUUCAGCACGAUGAAUGACAAUGGAGGAUAUGUUGGUGGAUGCAGUUACAUUUGUUUCUUUGGUUUAAGAUUUGUUUUCUGUUGAUUUGUCACUAAUUUGCUACUUUGCAUAUAUAGCUGGCUGCUCACUUGACUUUUGGCUAAGGCCUAAAAGAAUGCACUUUGUGCUGGCAAAGUACUCCUUUUUUUUCUUUUCUAUCAUGUGAACAUUUAAUUUGACUUGUAAGAGGAAGGGGAAAAGAAGGGAGUAAGAGGCAGUUUGGUCUCAGAAGAAUGCACUUUUUUCUUUACCCUGCCUCUUACGGUUUGUGGCUGCAAUGGCUAGCAGUGUAUCUGGUUCAAGAAGUCUUGUCGACGUUGUUGCAUUCUUCUGAUGACCACACUGGAUCUGGUCAUUUGUUGCAUGAUAGAGGAUCCAUCACGGUGUAUUCAUGUAGUCAUUAUCUCCAUGCUUUCCUUCAUGCUCAGUGAAUGGAGACUGAAGACUGAAAACUGGUUGGUGCUCUUGCAGGUGAGAUUGAAGAUAUAAAAUUGGUCGGGGCUCUGGUAAGCUUUGUAAUGGAGAAAUUUUGCAGCUCUAGCUGUUUGUUUCAUAGCUUCUCAAAUUGCUGGGAAAAGGUAGAGAUGAAAACAUGGUGGCUAGAGCUAGUGUGGACCAAUGAUGGCACUUGGAGCUGGUACCUGCGUGACUAUUCCAUAUUUUCUGCUACUGGAUAGAGGCCUUUGCAGAGUACCUCCGUCGGUAUGGAAGAAAAUGUAUUGUUACCGAGUUAUACGGAGUAUUUGUUAUUCCAUUGGAUAUACGGAGUACAACUUAUCUGUGACUGUGACGACAUGUGCAUAAGUUGGUUUAAAACUUUAAAUGGGCUUCCCUGAAGACAUCGUGAGGAGUGCUCUGAAGAUUGUCGACGGGGACGAGAACAUGAUGGUGUGAAUUGAGGUUAACAAUAUGAUGGUUCCAAGAGCUUUUUCUUUGUGAUUCUUUAGCCAGCUGAUAGGGCGUGCAACGCGCGCGGUAAUGUCUAGUAUAGUUAAAGCAUACAUGAAAUAAGGUCCUAUUAGAAAAUUUUCAUCAUAGCAUUCAACC
This is a non-coding RNA of Oryza sativa Japonica Group (Japanese rice), 1125 nucleotides long. Lineage: Eukaryota; Viridiplantae; Streptophyta; Magnoliopsida; Poales; Poaceae. The record is from RefSeq and is a predicted model, not a curated record.